This is a long non-coding RNA of Mus musculus (house mouse), 1113 nucleotides long. RefSeq annotates it as predicted gene, 42375. The record is from RefSeq and is a predicted model, not a curated record. The transcript has 2 exons. Lineage: Eukaryota; Metazoa; Chordata; Mammalia; Rodentia; Muridae.
CAGUGGGGUGAUAGACAGACAGUGAUGGCUGAAUUAGCUUGCUUUUAUACAUCCAGAGACAGAAGGCCGGACUUUGGUCUUGAUUAUGCAACUAUUUCACCUCCAGACUACCCACUAUUGUGCACCAAGUUUGGGACAUUACCAACACUGGAGGAGGAGGAGGGCCCCAUGACAGAUUAACAGGGAGUAGACUGAAUCUGUGGUAGCUAAGGAGGAAGUGCUCCAGAGCUAUGCAUUACAGAGGACAGUAGAGAGAAGCCAGAACUGGAUUCUUCAUAACAUGGAUACUAGAGACACUUCCUCUGAGAAGGGGCCCAAAUGAUAGGGAUAGUAGGGCCUUAGGAGAGAAGAACACUAUAAUCCAUUAGUUUGAAAUAGAAUGAAUACCUAUGAAGUUGAAAGACCAUUUUUCUUUCUUGUUUGAGAUAGGCUUUCACUAUGUAGUCCUGCCUAGCCUAGAGCUCCAUACAUAGACCACAGAGAUCCACCUGUGUCUGCCCUGAGUGCUGGGAUUAUAGGCCUAUACUACCACACCCGACCCUUGGGAGUCUUUCAAUGAAGAGGAUCCUGAAUUUAAGGAUGCGAGAAGUGGAGACUCCAGGGCUACCGGUUAUGGAUCUUGAGGCAAGAAUGGCUGUGGAUGGGGAGUGCCUGGGAGGAACACACUGAAACCGCAGGAGGAUCUUGGAGUCAGCACCUGUGCCCAGACGCAUGGAUGACAGAGCAGAAACUGAAGUCACGUGGGGGAGACACAGACACAUGAACAGUCAGUGCCUGUAGUCACCUGGCAGAGACAUGUGAGAACAGCAGCAAGCAUCUCAGGCAGGCUUCCAGAGUGCGUGAGUGAGCAGGGGCUUUGGGAAGUCUCUCUUUGAUGGCUCCAGUCUCCCUUUCUUAGUGAUUAAGAGCAGGGCCACAGCAUAGAACAGAACCCGAACGGGGCAGGGGUGGGGGCAGAUACCAACCCCUGGGCAGUUCAAUCAGUCUCCCUGAGAUCUUGUCUGUUGUGUGUCCUUGAAGAGCCAACUUCAUUGACAAACUGAACUUUAUGGGCCCAAGGACUGAGCACAACUUCCUCCUGAUAGUAAUGGUUGAAUAAAUGCAUAAAGUCAA